UUUUCUUGUGUAAAGUUUGUAUAUUCUUCCCCCGAAGGUUACUUGAAAUUAUUUUUCUAUCAUGGCAGAAAUACAUUUUGUCCAGAUAAGACUCAGUGGAGAUGGUGGUGGACCUUUGAGAAGGUGACUGAUGUUUCCUUCAUCUGGAUCAGACAGAGCUUUUUGAGGGAGGAUGUGCUCCUUGAAACCUUUUGAAGACCAAAAGGAAGCAUAUCAGAAAGAAGGGGAUAUAUG
This 234-nucleotide long non-coding RNA is filed under the name Junco hyemalis (dark-eyed junco). RNAcentral's name for it is "lncRNA (ENSJHYG00000006241.1)". The record is from RNAcentral. Lineage: Eukaryota; Metazoa; Chordata; Aves; Passeriformes; Passerellidae.